RNAcentral lists this ribosomal RNA (490 nucleotides) under uncultured bacterium. Its description in RNAcentral is "partial 16S ribosomal RNA". It matches the Rfam family "Bacterial small subunit ribosomal RNA", at positions 30 to 507 of the family's 1533-position model. The record is from RNAcentral.
AUUGAACGCUGGCGGCAGGCCUAACACAUGCAAGUCGAACGGUAACAGGAAGCAGCUUGCUGCUUUGCUGACGAGUGGCGGACGGGUGAGUAAUGUCUGGGAAACUGCCUGAUGGAGGGGGAUAACUACUGGAAACGGUAUCUAAUACCGCAUAAUGUCGCAAGACCAAAGAGGGGGACCUUCGGGCCUCUUGCCAUCGGAUGUGCCCAGAUGGGAUUAGCUAGUAGGUGGGGUAAAGGCUCACCUAGGCGACGAUCCCUAGCUGGUCUGAGAGGAUGACCAGCCACACUGGAACUGAGACACGGUCCAGACUCCGACGGGAGGCAGCAGUGGGGAAUAUUGCACAAUGGGCGCAAGCCUGAUGCAGCCAUGCCGCGUGUAUGAAGAAGGCCUUCGGGUUGUAAAGUACUUUCAGCGGGGAGGAAGGGAGUAAAGUUAAUACCUUUGCGCAUUGACGUUACCCGCAGAAGAAGCACCGGCUAACUCCGUG